RNAcentral lists this ribosomal RNA (292 nucleotides) under uncultured bacterium. Its description in RNAcentral is "partial 16S ribosomal RNA". It matches the Rfam family "Bacterial small subunit ribosomal RNA", at positions 505 to 796 of the family's 1533-position model. The record is from RNAcentral.
GUGUCAGCAGCCGCGGUAAUACGUAGGGGGCGAGCGUUGUUCGGAUUUACUGGGCGUAAAGCGCGCGUAGGCGGCCAGGUAAGUCGGAUGUGAAAGCCCUCGGCUCAACCGAGGUUCCGCACCCGAAACUGCCAGGCUCGAGUCUAGGAGAGGAGAGCGGAAUUCCCAGUGUAGCGGUGAAAUGCGUAGAUAUUGGGAGGAACACCGGUGGCGAAGGCGGCUCUCUGGACUAGUACUGACGCUGAGGCGCGAAAGCUAGGGGAGCGAACGGGAUUAGAUACCCCCGUAGUCC